AAUGAACGCUAGCGGGUGGGCCUAAGGCAUGCAAGUCGUACGAGAAAGCUCUCUUCGGAGGGUGAGUAGAGUGGCGCACGGGUGAGUAAGACUUAGGUAACGUACCUUUUGCUGGGGAUAACAGGUGGAAACGCCUGCUAAUACCGAAUAUUCCUAUUUUUCUGCGGAAGAAAUAGGGAAAGCCGUAAGGCGCGAAGAGAGCGGCCUGAGUCCCAUUAGCUCGUUGGUGAGGUAAAAGCUCACCAAGGCGACGAUGGGUAGCUGGUCUGAGAGGAUAACCAGCCACACUGGAACUGGAACACGGUCCAG
This 309-nucleotide ribosomal RNA is filed under the name uncultured bacterium. Its description in RNAcentral is "bacterial SSU rRNA". It matches the Rfam family "Bacterial small subunit ribosomal RNA", at positions 29 to 334 of the family's 1533-position model. The record is from RNAcentral.